RNAcentral lists this ribosomal RNA (300 nucleotides) under Triticum aestivum (bread wheat). RNAcentral describes it as "partial small subunit ribosomal RNA". Lineage: Eukaryota; Viridiplantae; Streptophyta; Magnoliopsida; Poales; Poaceae. The record is from RNAcentral.
AUGACGAUCGUACGUACUACGAUGUGGUUGGACGAGAUGGAGAAGCACAAGUUGGAUUCCAAGACAGAUGCUCGUUUUGAACGGGAGAUUGAGGAUCUGGGGAACAGGACAAAUGAGAUGGAAUCCGGCAAGGGAACUGCAGUUAUUUUAGACAAUUUUUUGCUCAGGCUGACCAGAGAUCGAAGACAAGUUCCCAUUUUCCAACCUUGUUCGGUUGAAGAAGAAAAAAAAUCCUUGUUCCAUCCAAUUAUAUUGAGGUAUCACACAUCCACCAACAAUGUUCACCGGAAUGAGGGCUAA